CCUAUCACAGAGCUGUUCCGUCUUCGACUACAGGAAGUUGUGGUGUGAUCUACAUGGAAAAAAGGUGGGAAAGCACCAGAGCGGGCAUGUGUUGCGAGAGCAAAGGAGCAUUGCCAUAAUUCAUCUUCAGCACAUGAGCAAAGAUUUGUGAAGUGUCGUGAGCUCCCGCUGAAAGCAGUCGCUGCAGAACCCAUGGAAGAAGAUGCCAGG
This is a long non-coding RNA of Lolium rigidum, 210 nucleotides long. RefSeq lists it as uncharacterized. The record is from RefSeq and is a predicted model, not a curated record. NCBI's taxonomy places the organism in Eukaryota, Viridiplantae, Streptophyta, Magnoliopsida, Poales, Poaceae. The transcript is spliced from 4 exons.